UGAAAUGAUUUUUGGGUGGGGCCCACGCAAUAGAUUUUUGGCCAAAAGUCUUGGCUUUAGGCAAUUCACGUGGGCAGUUUUUGGUGAUAUAUAAAGCAAUGUAAUGAAGAGAAAGUUAUGACAAGGAAGAAGGCUUGGGUGCGGGACCCCUAGUUGAUAUUUUGGCUAAAGUAAAAUGAUAUUUUCUGUCUCCUUUUUUAGGUGUGAUGGUGAGCAGUUGGGUGUGUCGGUAGAAAUUCCAAUAUAUGUUACUAGCUUGAUGAUGAUACAGAGAAUAAGAAAAUAGAGGAAUUAGAGAACAGAGAGAGAUAAAGGCAAGACACACGGAGAAAGAAAGCCGAGGGUUUACAGAGGCUGUGAGCUUUGAGGCUUUAUGAUCAGAUAAGCUAUUAUUUAUUUUGCAGAUUUCAGGUACCGAGGAUGAGCUUGGAUUGAUAGUAGCGGGCUUAGGUGAAGGAAUUGGUGUUGAGGAUUUAAUUUAAUUUAUUUGGAGAUAUUGUAUAUUAUUUAUUUGAGGAAUUAAUUUAGUAUCAAUAGAAUGAUAUUUUAUUAUUUUUGAGAUCCUGGCUGUAAUACUGAUGUAUUUGGAUUUGAAUAAAUCGAGGAAUUUAUUUAGAAAAUUCGGAGCGUGACAUCUUUUCACUCGAUUUUUUUUUUUUUUUUAACUAACCUAGAGGAUCAAAAAUAGGAGCAUGGUGCAAUGUAGUGAUCUAUUAAGCUUUCUAGCGAUAUAUGAGGUCGAGCAUUAGGUCAAUGACUCCAAAACCGGACGGCUUUAAGGCAUUAAGUGUUUAAACACCCCUAAGGACUUACAAGCUCAAAUCAAUUAGGCUACAAAUCAAAACUACCUCCAUCUAAUCAUUUCCCACUUCUCACCUUCGGGGAGAAGUCCUCACUUUUUUAUUUCCUUUUUCAACCCUUUUUUUUUUUUUAAUUGUUAACCUAGAGUUUGGGCUUCCACCUUUCGGCGCGAAAAAUUCAGUGUUUGAUGAGACUAGAAUCCCGGUUACUCAAUGAAAAGGGAUUGUUAUCCACUUUUGUUAAGAUAAAAGUUUUCAAUACACUACUAGCUCAAUUGGGAUAUAACCAAAUCAAUAAUCAACAAAGCAUGUACCCCACAAAUGAAUACUAGUAUACGCAUGUGCUAGUGUAGAAUCCUAGAGUGAAUCUUAAAAUAAUCACAGUAUCAAGAUGAUGUAGACCACAACUGCAAGCAAAAUAUCAAUCUUUCAAAAAAUUUACUCCUAAAUGGCAUCCACAAAGCAUACAAGGAGUAUUGGACUCUCAAGUCAAGCAAUUUUUAAUUUUUUAGUAUCAUGGUCCUCAAAAGAUCAAAAUCAUAGCCCAGGACUCUCAAAUCAUACCACAUACAUAGAAAUCAAGUGUGACAUGUAAAAUAUGUUAACACACCCCAAAACUUAAUCUGUACAUUAUCCUCAAUGUGCAAAGAAGCAACAGAUAAUGGAAAGAGUAUACUAAAUGGGUGAAGUAAAAGGGACCCGGCAACGAAAGCUUAGCUUUGGAAGGCGCACCUCCAAACUUAGAUUCUGAAAACCUGUCUAAAAAUGGUCACAUUAACAACUGUCAAAGCAUAUGCAUCAAUGAUAUAAAUGAAAGGUGAAACUAAGAACUGGGCAAAAAUCAUGGCAUCUAGUAAUGUAAAGCUCAGAAUAUCGAAAACUGAUAUCAAAAAUCCAUAUAUAGCAAGUAAAUCCAAAAUCAGUAUCUAUAAAUCAAUAUAUAACAAAUGCAGUGCAAGAAAUAAUAUCAAAAAUAUCCAGAAUAUCCAAAACCAGUGCAAGUGUCAAGAUAGUGCAAAAAUAUCUCAGCAAUAACAGUGCAAGUAUCAAUGACAGAUAAUGAGUAGGAGAGAGGGAAAGUGGUGGACUCAGGGAACAAGAUCUGUAGUCAUAAUAUCAGCAAUGUACUGCAGCAUGUCAAACAUCUCCUUGCUAUGGCGAGUGAGAGAAGUCGUAAAAUCUAUCCUCAAUGCUCCAAGCUCACGCCUCACCUCAGUUACGUCUACUCUCAGGUCAUCAGAUCACCUGACCAAAUCAUCGUGUCUCCCUACCAGGUCAUAAUGUCGGCUCCCCAGAUUAUCAUGCCACUUUGUGACAUCCACAUGUGUGAUACCCCAACUAGGGGUAUUACGUCAUGCCACCCACUCAUAUCAGCUUUGAAAGAAAUGAAAUCUAUGUGCAGCUGAGCUACCUAAGAUCUAUACUUAGAAUCAGUACUGGUAUGGCGAGAUUGAGUGUCGGUUUGUGCUAUCUGCUCGGUGGGAGGGACAUGUGAAGUGCCAGCCGGUUGAGAUGUAGUAGGUACAUCUGGCUGUGAGGUAGAACCUGAAAUGGUAAUGCGACGCCUCUGUCUGGGGGGAGAUCUAUCUGCUGUAGCAUCCUCUAGAGCGUCGUCUGCUGCAGCUGUUUCCUCUGCUGCUCUCUACUGCGCCUGCAGUCUCUUCAUAUCUCUAUUUUUCCUAUUCUUAAGGCAUGAAUUGUAAGCUUCGUCCACCUAGCCUGAUCAUAUACUCUCCUUUCUCUCUCUCUGCAUCAGUCUCUGAAUCUCAUUCGGGUCAAACUAAUAACCCUGAUCAAGUAGUAGUUGUGUAAUCAAGUGGCCAUAAGGUAAAGGCCAAGUCACAGCUCAAUAACUGUGUGUAUGAUGUAAAUUCUUCCAGAACUUGUGUAUGAGCUCCCAAAUAAGUGCAGGGAUAGAGAUCUAAUGAUAAACGUCAAAUAUUGCAUAUUUAAUCACCCUUAAUUGCAUUAGUUAAGCCCAUUGUUUGAUCUGUGUAUAUAAAUUAAUUCCAUUUUUAUGUUUUUGUGUUUUUACAGGUCUAAUUGCUAAAAAGGAAUAAAAAUAAGGUUUCAAGGGUUUUUAGAGCAUAAGUCAUAUCAGGCCUAAACGUCAAGUGGUUUUUAAGAAGAAAUGGCCCAAACAGGCAAUGGAUACAACCAGCACUAUAAAAGAAAAGAAUAAGCCAAGCAACAUGCUUCGCGUCCGGAUGUAAGAAUUGGCGUCCGGACGCCACCUAGCAAUACUUCGCAUCCGGACGCAGAAACUGGCGUCUAGACGCCAACUAGUAGGGCUUUGCGUCCAGACGCCAUACAUCGCAUCCGGACGCAAGGCUACGGGCCCUCAUUUUGAAUAAGUCAGAGUUUGUUCCAUCUUAAGUGGGAUUUUGAAUUUUGACGAGUUGUUUUGUUUUGAAACUCAUCUGGGGAUAAAGAGGGUGCAAAGGCUUGAAUUAAAAGAUAGAGUUUUGGAUUCUAAAAAUAUAUUGUGAGGGAGAGGAUUUUCCUUAGGGUUCUUAUGCUGAGUUUUGCAACAAUGGGUGAAAAAGGGAAAUCUUUUUCUUCUUCAAUCCUUGAAGUUGCUACCAAAUCUAUGAGAGGCUAACUUCAUUUAUAAGGAGUUAAUGUAACUUAGACCAAAUAAACAUGUAUUAAUUUGUAUUUCAAUUUAGGGAUUCUUCUUGUAUAUAUUUAAUUUCAUAAAUUAGAAGUGUUUACAUUGAAUUAA
Molecule: long non-coding RNA, 3525 nt
Organism: Cornus florida
Lineage: Eukaryota; Viridiplantae; Streptophyta; Magnoliopsida; Cornales; Cornaceae
Exons: 2
Source: RefSeq, a predicted model, not a curated record